AGACACGGCCCAGACUCCUACGGGAGGCAGCAGUGGGGAAUAUUGCACAAUGGGGGAAACCCUGAUGCAGCGACGCCGCGUGAGGGAUGACGGCCUCGGUUGUAACUACUUCUAGUAGGAGAAGACUUCGGGUUGGACGGUACCUGCAGAAGAAGUACCGGCUAACUACGUGCCAGCAGCGCGGUAAUACGUAGGUACAAGCGUGUCCGGAUUAUUGGCGUAAGAGCUCGUAGCGGUUCGUCGCGUCGCUGUGAACGCAAGGCUCAACCUUGCGCGUGCAGUGGUACGGGCGGACUAGAGUGCAGUAGGGAGUCUGGAAUUCCUGGUGUAGCGGUGAAAUGCGCAGAUAUCAGGAGGAACACCGGUGGCGAAGGCGGGACUCUGGGCUGUUACUGACGCUGAGAGCGAAAGCAUGGGGGGUCACGGCGGCCG
Molecule: ribosomal RNA, 432 nt
Filed under: uncultured bacterium
Lineage: Bacteria
Description: bacterial SSU rRNA
Rfam family: Bacterial small subunit ribosomal RNA
Source: RNAcentral